GGCCUCGUAGCUCAGCUGGUAGAGCACUCGCGGCAUUAAAGCUUGGGUGGUGGCCAUGCAUGGGUUCGAAUUCAGCCGAGGCCU
This 84-nucleotide transfer RNA is filed under the name Fasciola gigantica. RNAcentral describes it as "tRNA-Phe". Lineage: Eukaryota; Metazoa; Platyhelminthes; Trematoda; Plagiorchiida; Fasciolidae. The record is from RNAcentral.